Molecule: non-coding RNA, 113 nt
Organism: Acanthosepion pharaonis
Lineage: Eukaryota; Metazoa; Mollusca; Cephalopoda; Sepiida; Sepiidae
Source: the annotation of a GenBank genome assembly
UACGGCCACAUGGCGUAGAAACACCAGUUUCUGUACGAUCACCGAAGUUAAGCAAAGUCGAGCCUGAUCAGUAUCUAGAUGGGCGACCGCUUGGGAAUACCAGAAGUUGUAAG